RNAcentral lists this ribosomal RNA (256 nucleotides) under uncultured bacterium. Its description in RNAcentral is "partial 16S ribosomal RNA". It matches the Rfam family "Bacterial small subunit ribosomal RNA", at positions 524 to 776 of the family's 1533-position model. The record is from RNAcentral.
GACGUAGGUGGCGAACGUUAUCCGGAAUUAUUGGGCGUAAAGGGUGCGUAGGCGGCAUGAUAAGUUAUUGGCGGUAAAUCGAGGCUCAACCUCGUGGAAACUGAUAAUACUGUUUUGCUUGAGUACAGGAGAGGUUAACGGAACUCCAUGUGGAGCGGUAAAAUGUGUAGAUAUAUGGAAGAACACCAAUAACGGCGAAGGCAGUUAACUAUUCUGUCACUGACGUUGAGGCACGAAAGCGUGGGGAGCAAAAAGG